ACUAUAUUCGGGGUGCCGUCGCGAGACGGCUAUGGUGAUAAACGGACAUCGGAAUAAGCCUUUCGGACCCGGGGGCAGUACCCGGCGCCUCCACCCGAAACCACCGCGCCGCGCGACACGGCGGCUGGUUUCCGGCGGGGGCGAAAUAGGAUCGACGAGGGUGUAAAGGGUGCUCUUUUGCCCGGCAUGGUUCCGCCGUUAUCGGGCCGAACAUAUAGUUGCCAACGACAACUAUGCUCCGGUUGCGGUGGCCGCGUAAGCGGUCUCUAAAGCCGAAACAAAGCCCUUGCGGGUAGCACCGUAAGGCGGGGUUCGGAGGUACCUGGCAACAGAAACCUCCA
This 341-nucleotide transfer-messenger RNA is filed under the name uncultured Alsobacter sp. RNAcentral describes it as "Alphaproteobacteria transfer-messenger RNA". It matches the Rfam family "Alphaproteobacteria transfer-messenger RNA". Rfam says of the family: Bacterial tmRNA, also known as 10Sa RNA or SsrA, is named for its dual tRNA and mRNA-like properties. Its role is to liberate the mRNA from a stalled ribosome. To accomplish this part of the tmRNA is used as a reading frame that ends in a translation stop signal. Lineage: Bacteria; Pseudomonadati; Pseudomonadota; Alphaproteobacteria; Hyphomicrobiales; Alsobacteraceae. The record is from RNAcentral.